CUGAAAAUGGAGAAGCCAGGGAGGAUAUAGAAUUUGUCAGGGUGUCUGCCCAGACGCGGGUGAACGUUGAUUGUAGACAACAGGUGCUGGAUCCCAGACAGAGGGGAACAGGGCUUGCUGCAAAUGGUCCUAGGAACGUGCCCUGCCUGGCCUCAGAUUCUCUGCUGCUAAGAGUCUGCAUCUGUGGUGACCGUCUCCCAUUUGGAAAAUUAACUGCUUACAGAUGUUGUAUGUGGCACAGCCUUCUCCCAGGCAGUGAAACCACUGGGGCUUGGAUUUCGUUUCAAAAGGAAGAGGAGGGAAGCAAAGCUGCGUGUCUCUGAUAUGCCUCUGACCAAUUUGGUGUCCUGUGGAGACAGAGCCCAGUGCUGAGACACAUGGCUUGCUGAGGG
RNAcentral lists this long non-coding RNA (392 nucleotides) under Capra hircus (goat). RNAcentral's name for it is "lncRNA (ENSCHIG00000004517.1)". Lineage: Eukaryota; Metazoa; Chordata; Mammalia; Artiodactyla; Bovidae. The record is from RNAcentral.